Molecule: long non-coding RNA, 1127 nt
Filed under: Prunus dulcis (almond)
Lineage: Eukaryota; Viridiplantae; Streptophyta; Magnoliopsida; Rosales; Rosaceae
Description: sRNA ncRNA
Source: RNAcentral
AUUUUCCCUUUCUUCCUCCUCUCUUCAUAAUCUCUCGAUGUGGGAGUUUUUCAACAUCUCAUCAAAGAUGAAAGCCAGACACAAAUUUCCACAGCGAGGUAUGAAAAAACCCAAACCAAAGCUCGUUUUAGAAUGCGCCCUUUUUUCAUUUUCAAGUUUCAACCCUACCAUUUUCGUGUAACAAUCUAAAAUGUCAUCACACGCGUUGAUAAUUCAUAUAUGUUCUGUGUUUUGUAAUUUUUUUUUCAGGAGGUCUGCUUGAAAUCAGAGGCCGAAAUGGAAGCUCUGAAAGCGAUCAGAGCUGGAGCUUUGUGAUGUUGUUUGGUGAUGGUUGAUGUGAACUGGGCGCUAUCCUAGCUGAGCUUUUUCAUUCUUUUUUUUUUUUUGUUUUUUUUUCAUUUCGUUUCCUUUUUCGUCAAAUUCUUUUCUUUCUUUCUUGACCUUGUAAGACCUUUUCUUGACCUUGUAAGAUGUCACGCCGGGUCUGUUGUCUUCGUUUGUUGUUUUGGUCCAAGCUCUGUGUGAGAAUUAUCUCAUGUAGAGCUUGGCCAGCGUUUCUCCUUGUUGCCGUCCAACUCAUCUUCUCCUUCCUUGUCUAUCCCUCCUGAGCUGUUCCACAAUUAUUUGAUGAAGUUAAUUAUAUGAAGCCCACCAUAGCAAAUUUCCAUCAAACUCAAGGACCUGUUUGCAACAAACACAAUCUCAACUCAAGCUUGGUUCAUGCAAUUAAAUUCCACUUGGGUCAGGGAAAUGCUGAUUGUGUGUGUGUGUGGUCCUCCAUGUCAUUAUAGAAAAAGAAUAAAAAUGCAAAUUACCCUAAUAUAUAUUUAUUAUUUUCACUUCCUGCUACUAGCCUCCUCUGCUGUUACUAUUAUUCUGUUAAAAGAACCAUCAAUUUCAAUAUUGUAUUAUUGGAUGUGCAGAAAUAUGCUGUUGCAGAGAGAGAGAGAGAGAGAGAGAGAGAGAGGCAUCAGUUUCGUUGUUUUAUAUGUUGUUGGCUGAGAAAGUAGGAGAAUAUAUUUUCUCUCAGAUCUCUGUAAGAAGAGUUGAACUCGUGACUGCUCUGUUCGAUUGUACAAAAUAUAUCUAUCCACUGUAUUAUUAUUAUUAUUAUUAUUGUUGUUGUU